This 76-nucleotide transfer RNA is filed under the name Candidatus Fermentibacterota bacterium. RNAcentral describes it as "tRNA-His". It matches the Rfam family "tRNA". Rfam says of the family: Transfer RNA (tRNA) molecules are approximately 80 nucleotides in length. Their secondary structure includes four short double-helical elements and three loops (D, anti-codon, and T loops). The record is from RNAcentral. Lineage: Bacteria; Pseudomonadati; Candidatus Fermentibacterota.
GUGGGUGUAGCUCAGCUGGUAGAGCGCUGGACUGUGGAUCCAGUCGUCGUGGGUUCAAUCCCCAUCACCCACCCCA